UCUUCUUGCGCAGCUUAGGUGGAAGGCUGAGAAAGGCAAUUCCGGUUGUCUGGAGCCAUCAGUGAGAUACCACUCUGGGAGAGCUAGGAGUCUAAUGGCGUUCCUUAAAUCAGGACGCUUGACAGUUUCAGGUGGGCAGUUUUACUGGGGCGGUAGCCUCCUAAAAGGUAACGGAGGCGUGCAAAGGUUCCCUCAGGCUGGACGGAAAUCAGCCAUAGAGUGUAAAGGCAGAAGGGAGCUUGACUGCAAGACCUACAAGUCGAGCAGGGACGAAAGUCGGCCUUAGUGAUCCGACGGUGCCGUGUGGAAGGGCCGUCGCUCAACGGAUAAAAGUUACUCUAGGGAUAACA
RNAcentral lists this ribosomal RNA (350 nucleotides) under uncultured eukaryote. RNAcentral's name for it is "LSU rRNA". It matches the Rfam family "Bacterial large subunit ribosomal RNA", at positions 2129 to 2479 of the family's 2925-position model. The record is from RNAcentral.